RNAcentral lists this ribosomal RNA (681 nucleotides) under uncultured soil bacterium. Its description in RNAcentral is "bacterial SSU rRNA". It matches the Rfam family "Bacterial small subunit ribosomal RNA", at positions 36 to 732 of the family's 1533-position model. The record is from RNAcentral.
CUGGCGGCGCGCUUAAAACAUGCAAGUCGAACGAGAAGCUCGGAGCUUGCUCCGGGUGGAAAGUGGCGAACGGGUGAGGAGCACGUGAGGAACCUGCCCCGAAGACCGGGACAACACCGGGAAACCGGUGCUAAUACCGGAUGCCCUCACCGGACCGCAUGAUCCGGUGAGGAAAUGGAUUCCACUUCGGGAUGGCCUCGCGGACUAUCAGCUUGUUGGUGAGGUAAUGGCUCACCAAGGCUACGACGGUUAGCUGGUCUGAGAGGAUGAUCAGCCACACUGGGACUGAGACACGGCCCAGACUCCUACGGGAGGCAGCAGUGGGGAAUAUUGGACAAUGGGCGCAAGCCUGAUCCAGCCAUGCCGCGUGAGUGACGAAGGCCUUAGGGUUGUAAAGCUCUUUUGGCGGGGACGAUAAUGACGGUACCCGCAGAAUAAGCUCCGGCUAACUUCGUGCCAGCAGCCGCGGUAAUACGAAGGGAGCUAGCGUUGUUCGGAAUCACUGGGCGUAAAGCGCACGUAGGCGGAUUUGUAAGUCAGGGGUGAAAUCCCGGGGCUCAACCUCGGAACUGCCUUUGAUACUGCAAAUCUCGAGUCCGGAAGAGGUGGGUGGAAUUCCUAGUGUAGAGGUGAAAUUCGUAGAUAUUAGGAAGAACACCGGUGGCGAAGGCGGCCCACUGG